AAUGAACGCUGGCGGCGUGCUUAACACAUGCAAGUCGAACGAGAAAGCCCUUCGGGGUGAGUAAAGUGGCGAACGGGUGAGUAACGCGUGAGAAUCUACCCUUUAGUGGAGAAUACCCCCGAGAAAUCGGGGUUAAUACUGCAUAAGUCUUGAAAGAGAGAAAGGUGGCCUCUAGCUACCGCUGAAGGAUGAGCUUGCGUGCUAUUAGCUAGUUGGUGAGGUAAAGGCUCACCAAGGCAGAGAUGGCUAACCGGCCUGAGAGGGUGGACGGUCACAUUGGGACUGAGAUACGGCCCAGACUCCUACGGGAGGCA
Molecule: ribosomal RNA, 314 nt
Filed under: uncultured bacterium
Lineage: Bacteria
Description: bacterial SSU rRNA
Rfam family: Bacterial small subunit ribosomal RNA
Source: RNAcentral